Molecule: ribosomal RNA, 468 nt
Filed under: uncultured bacterium
Lineage: Bacteria
Description: partial 16S ribosomal RNA
Rfam family: Bacterial small subunit ribosomal RNA
Source: RNAcentral
GACGAACGCUGGCGGCGUGCUUAACACAUGCAAGUCGAACGGAAAGGCCCUGCUUUUGUGGGGUGCUCGAGUGGCGAACGGGUGAGUAACACGUGAGUAACCUGCCCUUGACUGUGGGAUAACUUCAGGAAACUGGGGCUAAUACCGGAUAGGAGCUCCUGCUGCAUGGUGGGGGUUGGAAAGUUUCGGCGGUUGGGGAUGGACUCGCGGCUUAUCAGCUUGUUGGUGGGGUAGUGGCUUACCAAGGCUUUGACGGGUAGCCGGCCUGAGAGGGUGACCGGCCACAUUGGGCCUGAGAUGCGGCCCAGCCUCCUCCGGGAGGCAGCAGUGGGGUAUAUUGCACAAUGGGCGGAAGCCUGAUGCAGCCACGCCGCGUGCGGGAUGACGGCCUUCGGGUUGUAAACCGCUUUCGCCUGUGACGAAGCGUGAGUGACGGUAAUGGGUAAAGAAGCACCGGCUAACUCCGUG